Molecule: ribosomal RNA, 475 nt
Filed under: uncultured organism
Description: bacterial SSU rRNA
Rfam family: Bacterial small subunit ribosomal RNA
Source: RNAcentral
GACGAACGCUGGCGGCGUGCUUAACACAUGCAAGUCGAACGGACAUUACGGAGGAGUUUACUUUGAAGUAAUGUUAGUGGCGGACGGGUGAGUAACACGUGGAUAAUCUACCUGGCACACUGGGAUAACACUGUGAAAACGGUGCUAAUACCGGAUGACUUAAAAAGACCGCAUGGUCAAAAUAAGAAAGGAGCAAUCCGGUGCCGGAUGAGUCCGCGGCUGAUUAGCUAGUUGGUGGGGUAAAGGCCUACCAAGGCGACGAUCAGUAGCCGGCCUGAGAGGGUGAACGGCCACACUGGGACUGAGACACGGCCCAGACUCCUACGGGAGGCAGCAGUGGGGAAUCUUCCGCAAUGGGCGAAAGCCUGACGGAGCAACGCCGCGUGGGUGAAGAAGGCCUUCGGGUUGUAAAGCCCUGUCUUAUGGGAAGAAGAAAGUGACGGUACCAUAGGAGGAAGCCACGGCUAACUACGUG